GACGAACGCUGGCGGCGUGCUUAACACAUGCAAGUCGAACGGAAAGGCCCUGCUUUUGUGGGGCGCUCGAGUGGCGAACGGGUGUGUAACACGCGUGUAUACCGUACUUGUCUUUGUGAUAACUUCUGGAAACUCGGGCGAUUACCCCAGAGGAGCUCCUGCUGCAUGGUGGGGGUUGGUAAGUUUCGGCGGUUGGGGAUCGACUCGCGGCUUAUCAGCUUGUUGGUGGGGUAGUGGCUUACCAAGGCUUUGACGGGUAGCCGGCCUGAGAGGGUGACCGGCCACAUUGGGACUGAGAUACGGCCCAGACUCCUACGGGAGGCAGCAGUGGGGAAUAUUGCACAAUGGGCGGAAGCCUGAUGCAGCAACGCCGCGUGCGGGAUGACGGCCUUCGGGUUGUAAACCGCUUUCGCCUGUGACGAAGCGUGAGUGACGGUAAUGGGUAAAGAAGCACCGGCUAACUACGUG
Molecule: ribosomal RNA, 468 nt
Filed under: uncultured bacterium
Lineage: Bacteria
Description: partial 16S ribosomal RNA
Rfam family: Bacterial small subunit ribosomal RNA
Source: RNAcentral